CCUACGGGAGGCAGCAGUGGGGAAUAUUGCGCAAUGGGCGAAAGCCUGACGCAGCGACGCCGCGUGAGGGAUGAAGGUUCUCGGAUCGUAAACCUCUGUCAGAAGGGAAGAAAUUAUAUCAUGCUAAUCAGUGGUGUAUUGAUGGUACCUUCCAAGCAAGCACCGGCUAACUCCGUGCCAGCAGCCGCGGUAAUACGGAGGGUGCGAGCGUGAAUCGGAAUGACUGGGCGUAAAGCGCACGUAGGCUGUAUGACAAGUCAAGGGUGAAAUGCCACGGCUCAACCGUGGAACUGCCUUUGAAACUGUCCAACGGGAGUAUAGGAGAGGGCGGCGGAAUUCCUGGUGUAGGGGUGAAAUCCGUAGAUAUCAGGAGGAACAUCAGUGGCGAAGGCGGCGGACUGGCACGAAACUGACGCUGAGGUGCGAAAGCGUGGGUAGCAAACAGGAUUAGAUACCCCUGUAGUC
RNAcentral lists this ribosomal RNA (465 nucleotides) under uncultured bacterium. RNAcentral's name for it is "partial 16S ribosomal RNA". It matches the Rfam family "Bacterial small subunit ribosomal RNA", at positions 338 to 795 of the family's 1533-position model. The record is from RNAcentral.